UCAAACUUGGUCAUUUAGAGGAAGUAAAAGUCGUAACAAGGUUUCCGUAGGUGAACCUGCGGAAGGAUCAUUACCGAGCUCGCGCCCCUCGGGGUCGACCUCCCACCCUUGCGUGUCCCAUACCCUGUUGCUUUGGCGGGCCGCACGCCGUGCCCCGGGCUGCCGGCAGCCCGGGAGUGCCCGCCAGGGGAAGCCCAAACUCUGCGUGAGCGUAUUGUCUGAGCCUGACGUUAAUAUCAAAACUUUCAACAACGGAUCUCUUGGUUCUGGCAUCGAUGAAGAACGCAGC
RNAcentral lists this unclassified non-coding RNA (289 nucleotides) under uncultured fungus. RNAcentral's name for it is "partial contains small subunit ribosomal RNA, internal transcribed spacer 1, and 5.8S ribosomal RNA". The stretch from base 1 to 73 matches the Rfam family "Eukaryotic small subunit ribosomal RNA", at positions 1759 to 1831 of the family's 1831-position model. The record is from RNAcentral. Lineage: Eukaryota; Fungi.